UACCAGCACCCCGAGUGGUCGGGACGAUUAUUGGGCCUAAAGCAUCCGUAGCCGGUUUUACAAGUCCCCCGUUAAAUCCAACUGCUUAACAGAUGGGCCGCGGAGGAUACUAUAAGACUAGGAGGCAGGAGAGGCAAGCGGUACUCAGUGGGUAGGGGUAAAAUCCGUUGAUCCAUUGAAGACCACCAGUGGCGAAGGCGGCUUGCCAGAAUGCGCUCGACGGUGAGGGAUGAAAGCUGGGAGAGCAAACCGG
This 253-nucleotide ribosomal RNA is filed under the name uncultured bacterium. RNAcentral's name for it is "partial 16S ribosomal RNA". It matches the Rfam family "Archaeal small subunit ribosomal RNA", at positions 474 to 727 of the family's 1478-position model. The record is from RNAcentral.